This 778-nucleotide ribosomal RNA is filed under the name uncultured Neocallimastigales. RNAcentral's name for it is "partial large subunit ribosomal RNA". It matches the Rfam family "Eukaryotic large subunit ribosomal RNA", at positions 26 to 634 of the family's 3401-position model. The record is from RNAcentral. Lineage: Eukaryota; Fungi; Neocallimastigomycota; Neocallimastigomycetes; Neocallimastigales.
CGCAUCUGUGCAUGCAGCAUAUCAAUAAGCGGAGGAAAAGAAACUAACAAGGAUUCCCCUAGUAACGGCGAGUGAAGCGGGAAGAGCUCAAAUUUGAAAUCUUAAAGGGUUUCCCUUUACGAAUUGUAGUUUAAAGAAGUGUUUUCUGUUGAGGUUUUGGUAAAAGUUCUUUGGAAUAGGACAUCAUAGAGGGUGAGAAUCCCGUAUUUGACCUUUACUUUCAACUUUGUGAUACACUUUCAAAGAGUCGGAUUGUUUGGGAAUGCAGUCCAAAAUGGGUGGUAAAUUUCAUCUAAAGCUAAAUAUUGGCGAGAGACCGAUAGCGAACAAGUACCGUGAGGGAAAGAUGAAAAGAACUUUGAAAAGAGAGCUAAACAGUACGUGAAAUUGUCAAAAGGGAAGCGUUUGACACCAGUGUUGUUUUUCUGAAAAUCAAUUAAAGAACUGUUUAUGCUAAGUUGUUUAGACUUUAUCAGCUAAUCUGUUUCAGUUUUGAGCUUUUCUUUAAUGCACUUUUCAGUUAACAAGUCAACAUCAAUUUCUUUUGCUGUAAAAAAGCUUGAGGAAGGUGGCUUGAGAUUCGUCUUAAGUGUUUAUAGCCUCUUGCCUAGUGCAGUCGGAGAGAUUGAGGUCUGCAGCGUAGAUCCUUCGGGGCUAAAUGCAUUUGAUGCUAAGUUAUAGCAUUUUAUAGACAACUUGUUGACUAUGAUUUGUCUUGUAGCUUACUCGCUUAUGUUAUUUUACCUACGCUUAGGAUGUUGAACGCGCACAGAGUCUC